GACGAACGCUGGCGGCGUGCUUAACACAUGCAAGUCACGGGGGUCCGCAAGGACAACCGGCGAACGGGUGCGUAACACGUGAGCAACCUACCGAUUUGUGGGGGAUAGCCGGCCCAACGGCCGGGUAAUACCGCAUACGCUCUUUGGGCUUCAUGGCCUAUUGAGGAAACCUCCGGGGCAAAUCGAGGGGCUCGCGGCCUAUCAGCUAGUUGGCGAGGUCACGGCUCACCAAGGCGACGACGGGUAGCUGGUCUGAGAGGGUGUACGGACACAUUGGGACUGAGAUACGGCCCAGACUCCUACGGGAGGCAGCAGUAGGGAAUUUUGCGCAAUGGAGGAAACUCUGACGCAGCAACGCCAUGUGUGGGAUGAAGCAUUUCGGUGUGUAAACCACUGUCAG
Molecule: ribosomal RNA, 400 nt
Filed under: uncultured bacterium
Lineage: Bacteria
Description: bacterial SSU rRNA
Rfam family: Bacterial small subunit ribosomal RNA
Source: RNAcentral